Long non-coding RNA from Oncorhynchus nerka (sockeye salmon), 431 nucleotides. RefSeq lists it as uncharacterized. The record is from RefSeq and is a predicted model, not a curated record. The transcript has 3 exons. NCBI's taxonomy places the organism in Eukaryota, Metazoa, Chordata, Actinopteri, Salmoniformes, Salmonidae.
UGAGGUGCAACCAAAACAGCUGUUAGACAUUGCAACAGGGAUAUUCUGGCAGGGUGUCUGUCUAGCAUUAGUUCUGAAUACGGUUGUGGUUUUGAUCACUAAAAUGGCUGUGACUUUUGGACUCUCUUUGAGUGUUUCUUGGAUUUGUUGCCUGCUAAUUGGAGGGAUAACGUGUUUUACCCUUCAAGGUGAUGCUUAUGGGCAUCCUGCCUGCACUGGACCUGAACCAACUAGAUCCCAAGCAAGUGUGGUGUCUGGUCCAAAUGCUAAAGCUACUGGCCACAAUACCCUGGCAAGUGUGACGCCGGGUCCAACUGCCAACCAUACCUCUGCAGAAGCGGCCCGCGCCUCAGCUGAAGCAACUGCCAACCAUGCCUCGGCAGAAGCGGCCGCCGGCCUCCGGACCUCUGCAGAAGCGGCCCGCGCCUCAG